CGUAGGGUGCGAGCGUUAAUCGGAAUUACUGGGCGUAAGGCGUGCGCAGGCGGUUUUGUAAGACAGAUGUGAAAUCCCCGGGCUCAACCUGGGACCUGCAUUUGUGACUGCAAGGCUAGAGUACGGUAGAGGGGGAUGGAAUUCCGCGUGUAGCAGUGAAAUGCGUAGAUAUGCGGAGGAACACCGAUGGCGAAGGCAAUCCCCUGGACCUGUACUGACGCUCAUGCACGAAAGCGUGGGGAGCAAACAGGAUUAGAUACCCUGGUAGUCCACGCCCUAAACGAUGUCAACUGGUUGUUGGGUCUUUACUGACUCAGUAACGAAGCUAACGCGUGAAGUUGACCGCCUGGGGAGUACGGCCGCAAGGUUG
RNAcentral lists this ribosomal RNA (370 nucleotides) under uncultured organism. RNAcentral describes it as "bacterial SSU rRNA". It matches the Rfam family "Bacterial small subunit ribosomal RNA", at positions 526 to 896 of the family's 1533-position model. The record is from RNAcentral.